RNAcentral lists this ribosomal RNA (118 nucleotides) under Lottia gigantea (owl limpet). Lineage: Eukaryota; Metazoa; Mollusca; Gastropoda; Lottiidae. The record is from RNAcentral.
GUCAAGAGCCAUACCACGCUGAAAGAACAGUUCUCGUCUGAUCACUGAAGUAAAGCAACGUCGGCGUACAUUAGUACUUGGAUGGGUGAUUGUCUAGGAACACCAAGUGCUGUAGAGU